This 21-nucleotide microRNA is filed under the name Oreochromis niloticus (Nile tilapia). Its description in RNAcentral is "oni-miR-10697b". Lineage: Eukaryota; Metazoa; Chordata; Actinopteri; Cichliformes; Cichlidae. The record is from miRBase by way of RNAcentral.
GGCGGCCUCAGAAUCUCAUCU